Penaeus chinensis is the source of this 1424-nucleotide long non-coding RNA. RefSeq lists it as uncharacterized. The record is from RefSeq and is a predicted model, not a curated record. The transcript is spliced from 2 exons. NCBI's taxonomy places the organism in Eukaryota, Metazoa, Arthropoda, Malacostraca, Decapoda, Penaeidae.
UCUUGUCCUCCCUUCCCGUGGUGGUGUAUAUAAAGCUUGGCACAACUGCGAAACCAAGUCACUGGGUUUCGGGCACUGCUAGAACUUACUGGCACUCGUUGGUUGGACAGACAGAGAGUGAUUUUGUCAAGGUCCAAGUGAUACCGUGCAUCAUCGUAGUCAAAAGGUGUGAAAUAGAGCAAGAGCUGGUUCAUCCAUAUCUCAAGAAUUUGUUCGUCCAUAUCUCAAGAACUGGUUCAUCCAUAUCGCAAAGAAAUUGUAUCCCAAUUUUACGAUCGGGUCACAAGAAUUCUACAAUCAAACCAUCUCUCUAAUCAACCGAGAUUCGUGUGGAGUCAGCAGCGCAAGAAACUGACUAAUAAUCAGCAGGACUUCUGCAAUCAGAUCAUCUUCGUGAGCGCCACUGAGGGCCGUCGAGAUGCCUUGCUACGACAACUACAGCUCGGUCGAAGUGGCGUCCUUGUGCACGACGGGAUACGGCCUGGACGCCUCCUCCCUCAUCAUCCUGACGUUCCCGCCCUACAGCGCCUGUCACUAUAGGCGCUACGAGUCCUUCUCUCCUCCCAACGCCUCGCGGGGAUCCAAAAGAUCAACCUCCUCUCUCUCUUCUUCGCCUUCUGCCUCGUUUUCCUCUGCCUCUUGCUCCUCCUCUUGCUCGUCCUCGAACUCCUCGUCCUCCCCUUCCUCCUCUCCCUCCAUGUCCUCCUCGAGCUCGACCUCCACCCUCUGCCUCUCCGACGACGACGCAAACAACCGAAAAUGGUGGAAGAGCGUGAGGAAAAUGGGCCAUUACCCGAAGACCGUCGUUCGCAAAAUCAAGAAACGUUUCCAGUAGAGUUUUUGAACGCAUUAUCGACGCAAGCGCCGAGGUCCGUCGUGCGUUCGUAGGAGGAAGGCCUAUGGAGAACGAGGGGGAAGAAGAAAUGAUGAAACAAGGGGAGAGAAAGAAGGAAAACAGGGAAAAGAGGACGGGAAAUAUCUUGACUUAGGAAGGAAAUGCUUGGCUUUUGUAACUGUGUGCUGGCUAGUAAUGCUGGUGGCGAUGAUUAUCUAUCUGGACAGCAACAAAAGAAAAACUGAAUAUUGAGGGAAAAGGGAAAACGGGCAAACACGGUGACGUCAGCGAUUUCACAACAUUCCAAGUUCUCAUAAUUAAACAAAUAUAUAAAUUCCCUCUUACGUCAAAAAGGAAGACUAAGAAUGAUGAUAAACAGAGACGGGGAGAAUAACAAGCAAUCGGAAGAGAUGGAGAGAAAACAGAGAGUGGAUAAAUAGAAGGAAGAAGAAAAAAAGAGGUAGAAGAUAUAUUAAAAUAACGAGAAAGGGAGCACGAGUGUAAAUGAAAAUAAUAAGAGAGAGCAGAGAUAAACGAAAAUAGUGAGAGAGAGCAAGGAUAAAUACAAAUAAAAUAGAACAAGAUAAAU